This 295-nucleotide ribosomal RNA is filed under the name uncultured bacterium. RNAcentral describes it as "partial 16S ribosomal RNA". It matches the Rfam family "Bacterial small subunit ribosomal RNA", at positions 28 to 334 of the family's 1533-position model. The record is from RNAcentral.
GAUGAACGCUGGCGGCGUGCCUAACACAUGCAAGUCGAGCGAACCCUUCGGGGUGAGCGGCGGACGGGUGAGUAACGCGUGGGUAACCUGCCCUAUACACACGGAUAACGUACCGAAAGGUACGCUAAUACGAGAUGACAUAUUUUUAUCGCAUGGUAGAAAUAUCAAAGCUCCGGCGGUAUAGGAUGGACCCGCGUCUGAUUAGCUAGUUGGUAAGGUAAUGGCUUACCAAGGCGACGAUCAGUAGCCGACCUGAGAGGGUGAUCGGCCACAUUGGAACUGAGACACGGUCCAA